RNAcentral lists this ribosomal RNA (351 nucleotides) under Ixodes scapularis (black-legged tick). Its description in RNAcentral is "partial 16S ribosomal RNA". Lineage: Eukaryota; Metazoa; Arthropoda; Arachnida; Ixodida; Ixodidae. The record is from RNAcentral.
GGUAUUGAAAUAAGAUUUUAAAUGAGUGCUAAGAGAAUGAUUAAACAAUUAAAAGCUUUCUUUAAUUAAAAAAUUAAAUUUAAUUUUUUAGUGCAAAAGCAAAAAUAAAAUUUAGGGACAAGAAGACCCUAUGAAUUUUUAUUGUUAAUAAUUAAUAUUUAAGUUAUUAAUAAUUUAAUUGGGGCGAUAAAAAAAGAAUAAGUAUCUUUUUAGUUAUAAAAUAAGUUCCGUUUUUAGCGAUUAAAUGAAAUAAAUACUCUAGGGAUAACAGCGUAAUAAUUUUGGAUAGUUCAUAUAGAUAAAAUAGUUUGCGACCUCGAUGUUGGAUUAGGAUUCUUUUUUGGUGAAGAA